Molecule: ribosomal RNA, 662 nt
Filed under: uncultured bacterium
Lineage: Bacteria
Description: bacterial SSU rRNA
Rfam family: Bacterial small subunit ribosomal RNA
Source: RNAcentral
GAGCGAGAAAGGGCUUCGGCCCCAGUAAAGCGGCGCACGGGUGAGUAACACGUAGGUUACCUGCCCUCGGGUGGUGGAUAACAGUCCGAAAGGAUUGCUAAUACAGCAUAACACCGUAAGGUCAAAGUGGGCCUCUCCAUGGAAGCUCACGCCUGAGGAUGGGCCUGCGGCGCAUCAGCUUGUUGGUGGGGUAAUGGCCUACCAAGGCGAAGACGCGUAGCUGGUCUGAGAGGAUGAACAGCCACACUGGAACUGAGACACGGUCCAGACUCCUACGGGAGGCAGCAGUAGGGAAUCUUGCGCAAUGGGCGAAAGCCUGACGCAGCGACGCCGCGUGAGUGAUGAAGGCCUUCGGGUUGUAAAGCUCUGUGGGGAGAGAAGAAUAAGCGUAACCUAAUACGUUGCGUGAUGACGGUAUCUCCUUAGCAAGCACCGGCUAACUCUGUGCCAGCAGCCGCGGUAAGACAGAGGGUGCAAACGUUGUUCGGAAUUACUGGGCGUAAAGCGCGUGUAGGCGGCUUGGCAAGUCGGGUGUGAAAUCCCGGGGCUCAACCCCGGAAGUGCACUCGAAACUGCUUGGCUGGAGUCCUGGAGAGGAAGGUGGAAUGCUUGGUGUAGAGGUGAAAUUCGUAGAUAUCAAGCGGAACACCCGUGGCGAAGGC